UUAGCUCAUAUUUGUAUGUAGUGGGAUCGCUUGCGUACAUUUGCUGCUAAGGGCGCUGUUCCAACUGCAUACAAAAUUGGGUUC
Molecule: microRNA precursor, 84 nt
Filed under: Bombyx mori (domestic silkworm)
Lineage: Eukaryota; Metazoa; Arthropoda; Insecta; Lepidoptera; Bombycidae
Description: mir-2807 microRNA precursor family
Rfam family: mir-2807 microRNA precursor family
Source: Rfam by way of RNAcentral